GAUAAAGUGUGGCGCAUGCCACGCUUUUGAAAGAUGGUUUCGGCUAUCGCUUACAGAUGGGCCCGCGGUGCAUUAGCUAGUUGGUAGGGUAAUGGCCUACCAAGGCAACGAUGCAUAGCCGACCUGAGAGGGUGAUCGGCCACACUGGGACUGAGACACGGUCCAGACUCCUACGGGAGGCAGCAGUAGGGAAUCUUCCGCAAUGGACGAAAGUCUGACGGAGCAACGCCGCGUGUAUGAAGAAGGUUUUCGGAUCGUAAAGUACUGUUGUUAGAGAAGAACAAGGAUAAGAGUAACUGCUUGUCCCUUGACGGUAUCUAACCAGAAAGCCACGGCUAACUACGUGCCAGCAGCCGCGGUAAUACGUAGGUGGCAAGCGUUGUCCGGAUUUCUUGGGCGGACAGGGCGCGCAGGCGGUCUUGUAAGUAGGAUGUGAAAGCCCCCGGCUGAACCGGGGAGGGUCAUUGGAAACUGGAAGACUGGAGUGCAGAAGAGGAGAGUGGAAUUCCGCGUGUAGCGGUGAAAUGCGUAGAUAUGUGGAGGAACACCAGUGGCGAAGGCGACUCUCUGGUCUGUAACUGACGCGGCGGCGCGAAAGCGUGGGGAGCAAACAGGAUUAGAUACCC
RNAcentral lists this ribosomal RNA (626 nucleotides) under Escherichia coli. RNAcentral describes it as "bacterial SSU rRNA". It matches the Rfam family "Bacterial small subunit ribosomal RNA", at positions 173 to 787 of the family's 1533-position model. Lineage: Bacteria; Pseudomonadati; Pseudomonadota; Gammaproteobacteria; Enterobacterales; Enterobacteriaceae. The record is from RNAcentral.